Molecule: ribosomal RNA, 674 nt
Filed under: uncultured bacterium
Lineage: Bacteria
Description: bacterial SSU rRNA
Rfam family: Bacterial small subunit ribosomal RNA
Source: RNAcentral
CCUGCCCGGGAGAUCGGGAUAACAGUUCGAAAGGGCUGCUAAUACCGGAUGAUAUCUUUUCUUUUCGGAGGGAAGAUCAAAGCGUUUAGCGCUCUCGGAUGGGCCCGCGUCCCAUUAGUUAGUUGGUGGGGUAAUGGCCUACCAAGGCAGCGAUGGGUAGCCGGUCUGAGAGGAUGUUCGGCCACACUGGGACUGAGACACGGCCCAGACUCCUACGGGAGGCAGCAGUGGGGAAUUUUGCGCAAUGGGGGAAACCUUGACGCAGCGACGCCGCGUGAGUGAUGAAGGCCUUCGGGUUGUAAAGCUCUGUUGGGGGGGAAGAUAGUGACGGUACCCCCUGAGGAAGCCCCGGCUAACUACGUGCCAGCAGCCGCGGUAAGACGUAGGGGGCGAGCGUUGUCCGGAAUUACUGGGCGUAAAGGGCGUGUAGGCGGCUUUUCAAGUCGGCUGUGAAAUUCCUUGUGCUUACUGAAGGUGUGCAGUCGAAACUGAUGGGCUUGAGUGCAGGAGAGGGUGGUGGAAUUCCCGGUGUAGCGGUGACAUGCGUAGAUAUCGGGAGGAACACCGGUGGCGAAGGCGGGCUCCUGGCCUGUUACUGACGCUGAGGCGCGAAAGCCGGGGGAGCAAACAGGAUUAGAUACCCUGGUAGUCCCGGCCGUAAACUCUGGGUACUA